UACGGAGGAUGCAAGCGUUAUCCGGAUUUAUUGGGUUUAAAGGGUGCGUAGGCGGAUAUGUAAGUCAGCGGUGAAACUCACAGUCUCAACCUGUGCCGUGCCGUUGAAACUGUGUAUCUGGAAUGCGGAUGCUGUGGGAGGAAUGUGUAGUGUAGCGGUGAAAUGCAUAGAUAUUACACAGAACACCGAUUGCGAAGGCAUCUCACAAAGCCGUUAUUGACGCUGAGGCACGAAAGUGUGGGGAUCAAA
Molecule: ribosomal RNA, 249 nt
Filed under: uncultured prokaryote
Description: partial 16S ribosomal RNA
Rfam family: Bacterial small subunit ribosomal RNA
Source: RNAcentral